CCUACGGGUGGCAGCAGUGAGGAAUAUUGGUCAAUGGGCGGAAGCCUGAACCAGCCAAGUAGCGUGCAGGAUGACGGCCCUACGGGUUGUAAACUGCUUUUAUACGGGAAUAACGCGCCUUACGUGUAGGGCUUUGCAUGUACCGUAUGAAUAAGGACCGGCUAAUUCCGUGCCAGCAGCCGCGGUAAUACGGAAGGUCCGGGCGUUAUCCGGAUUUAUUGGGUUUAAAGGGAGCGUAGGCCGCACGUCAAGCGUGCUGUGAAAUGUCCGGGCUCAACCCGGGCCUUGCAGCGCGAACUGGCGUGCUUGAGUCCGCGGAAAGCAGGCGGAAUUCGUUGUGUAGCGGUGAAAUGCUUAGAUAUGACGAAGAACCCCGAUUGCGAAGGCAGCCUGCUGCAGCGGAACUGACGCUGAUGCUCGAAAGCGCGGGUAUCGAACAGGAUUAGAUACCCCAGUAGUC
Molecule: ribosomal RNA, 460 nt
Filed under: uncultured bacterium
Lineage: Bacteria
Description: partial 16S ribosomal RNA
Rfam family: Bacterial small subunit ribosomal RNA
Source: RNAcentral